ACAUAUAGCAUACGAGCAUAGCGCAAACAGCGCAUAUGGCAGGUAGCGUAGCGUCUUCUUGGAUUUUGGCCUGCACGAAAACAAGGAACCCAACCGCUCCAAAGCGGGAGUUUCGGUGGGUUCUUGUGUGUGGCGACGAGACGCUUGUGCUAGUUGGCCAUGCGAUAUGUGAAAUCGAGAACAGUAAUGACGUUGUCAACUGGCAACACUGCGGGCGGUUUGGCCAAGACUGCAACAGCAGCGCGGCAUCAGCAACACAUCACAUCGCAUCACGUACGCAGACCAGAACCAAAAACAAAAGUCGGUACCCAAAGCGCAUGGAGAAUGGUAAAUGGUAGACGGUAGAUGGUAGAUGGCAAUGGCAACAUUACAACUUGCCCGGUUUCGGAUGACUCUCUGCAACUGGCGGCUUUUUCAAUUAUCCCCAGCGUAUCAAGCAAGAAGCCAACUUUAAAGCCGGCCUAUGACGAAAUGAAAUUUGGUAAGCAACAGGCGCAGCGGCAACAUUGUGGCUAAAACGGCUUCAUCGAAGUAUUGUAUAUACUGCUUGUAUUGGGGCUUUUCAAUGUAUGU
Non-coding RNA from Drosophila melanogaster (fruit fly), 573 nucleotides. Lineage: Eukaryota; Metazoa; Arthropoda; Insecta; Diptera; Drosophilidae. The record is from Ensembl.